RNAcentral lists this long non-coding RNA (3053 nucleotides) under Zea mays. RNAcentral describes it as "long non-coding RNA (ZMAY_LNC001312)". The record is from RNAcentral. Lineage: Eukaryota; Viridiplantae; Streptophyta; Magnoliopsida; Poales; Poaceae.
CACAUUCUAACUUGUUUACUGGUUAAUAUGUCAUAAGGCACAGAACUCGUGGACUAAGCUUGCUGUGGAGAUCGACAGUCCACAAGCUACGUCUCUGGAUCAGUUAGCCGAUCCACCCAAUAGUACCUGUGCGCAAGUAAUCCACUCAAAGUCAGAGAUAUGUAGCAACAGAUGGCUACCAGAUAAGAGCAACAGAAACUGCAAGAAGCCAAAAAACACUAAUGGUAUGUCAUGCUCAACCGAUGUGCAUUAUGCAAUUUUACAAAAUAAAUAAACUUGCUGGCCAUUUUAUCUAUUAAGAUUGAUGGUUGAUUUCAGAUGACUUUAAGGGAAAGGACCUGGAGAUAGGUGGCCCUGAAAAUUUAUAUAUGGGUCACCAAUCUUCCCCAAAUGGGAGAUCCAUCAAAGCAGCAGAUCAUGAAAACAAUUCAAAGGAAUCAAUGAUGGAAAAUUUAGAGGAGCCAACUGUUCGAGCUGCUGACCUAAUUGGUUCAAUGGCCAAAAACAUGGAUACCCCACAGGCAGCAAGAGCUGCAGAAGAUACCCCUAAUUUCUCUUCCAAAGUGCCAGAAGGGAAAGGUAAGAAUAACCAGAAUGAUAAGUAUGUUUUGCCAUCACUUGAGCUGAGUUUGAAGAGGUCGAGAUCAUGUGGAGAUGGUGCCAACAACAAAAAUACAGUCAAAGACGACGAACAACGGAAUUGUGUAUUAAGACGAUCAAAUCUGUCGGCUUUUACAAGGUGCAAAACAUAAUAUCAGUGUCAUUAGUGAGUUAUGAGAGCAACAGUAUGUUACGUACUAACAGUUACCACUUUUAUUGCAAGGUACCACACAUCUGCGGCUUCCAAUCAAGGUGGGACAGGAUUGGUAGGUAGCUGUUCGCCGCAUGAUAACAGCUCGGAGGCUGUGAAAACGGAUUCUACCUACAACAUGAAGUCAAAUUCAGAUGCUGCCCCGAUAAAACAAGGCUCCAACGGCAGUAGCAAUGACAAUGACAUGGGUUCCACUACAAAGGAUGUUGUGACAAAACCCAUGUUGCCCUCUGCUAUUAAGGCUAAUGGAUACACAUCAGCGUUCCAUCCUGUGCAGCAGUGGAUGGUUCCAGCUAAUGCAACAGCAGGGAAAACGAAGGCUGAUGAAAAUACAGCCAGAAAUCACUGCGUCCAUUUUGAGAAUGGUGGGUCAGGAGCCCUGCAAUGUGGUUCCUCCAACGUAUUUGAUCCCCCACUUGAAGGCCAAGCUACAAAUAACUAUGGUGGUGUGAAAGCCGGGAGCAACUCAGGCAGCAACAAGGGGCAGAACAAUGGGAGUACGGCUGCUGCAAAUGCUGGACUGGCAGAAACGGAGAUACAGGCCAUGGACAAAAGUGGAGUUGGAGGUGGCAAUGGCAAUGGCAAUGGGAGUGGCAGUGGCAGUGGCAAUGACACAUAUGUCAGACGGCUUGCUGCGAACAUGACACCGCGACAAGCACAGCUAAAGAAAUAUAGAGAGAAAAAGAAAGACCGGAACUUUGGGAAGAAGGUAGCCUGUUUGCAAUUGCAUCUUAAUUUUUCUUCUUUAUUUGUUUUCAGUUACAUAUAUGUUUAAGAAGAAGUGAGAGCAUUGGAUAGGAGGACUGGUUUCUUUCUGAUGGCCGUCUGCCAUUUUCAGGUGCGGUACCAGAGCAGAAAGAGGCUAGCCGACCAGCGGCCACGGGUUCGUGGACAGUUCGUCAAGCAAGCUGUGCAAAAUCAGGACGGAGCUAGAGAGAGAUGACCGACACCCCCCCCCCCUCCCCUGUGGCUGUGCUGCUCUCUGGCUUCAGCUCCCUACUGACUCCGACUCCACCUCUGCUGGCAUGCAUGGUUGCCGCUUUGGACUCAAAACACUUGACAGUUAGACGUGCGGUUGAUGAUUCUUCCUUCUCUCGUGGUGUGGACUGAUAUGGUCAACAACACAGCCUCCUUCCUUUUCAUCAUUGGUUUCUUCACAUCUAGAAUCUACUGCCUGACCGGGAAAGAAUAAACAAGGAACUUCUUCUUCUAUACAUGUGUAUGUAUGUAUGCAUUCCUAAGCAUGUAAUGUAGAAGAAUAAGUGCGUGGCUUGACUCUAGAUGGACUUUAAUUUUAGACAGAGUCUUGCUCGCUCUCCUACAUCAUCUAGUGUAACUAAAGUGUUGUCAUGUAUGGUCUUGGAUCACUGUCUAUCAAUAUAUUAUAUCGUGGCGUUCCUUGAUAAGUCUGCAGGCAGAAGCAUGACAAAAAUUCAGGGAGGGCCAAGAAACCAUAUGACAAAAUCAACCAACACCGUAAAAUAACUAUUGUCAUAUAGAAUUCAAGUUUUAUAUCAAUACAUGAUACAAGUUCAAAGAAGUAAAUCAUACAAAUAAAAAAGAAACAUACCGUUAAGUUUUUGUUGACCUCACAAUUGUCUCUUAGUUUUGAGACGUUGAAAUCGUCGAAUAAUGAGUUCAUCAUCAAUGAAUUUGAAGAUCGUCGAAUAAUGAGUUCAUCAUCAAUGAAUUUGAAGAUCUCUUUCUCAGUGAAGCAAACCAUUAAAUCAUUCAACCAAUCAUCUUCAAUCUUGUUAUGCAAUUCUCUCUUAAUUAUAUUAAUAGCUAAAAAUGUUCUCUCAACACAUGCCGUUGACACAAGUAAUAAUAGAGCCAACUCAAUUAGCUUGUAGAAGAGUAUUAAUAAUCAUCAACAGACCAACUACUUAUGAACUUACCUAAUCCAGUUCAGUUAUGCAAAAUUGCAAAUCUAGCACAGGCGUACAACUUGUCUGCUUGGUUAGUGCUUACCUUCCUGAAGAUCUGGACUGCUUGUUGAUGAGAGCAGUGAUAGGGAGCAGCGGCGCCUGAGGAAAGGGUGCGCGCCUACGCUGCGCCGAUCAGAAGACAGAAGGAAGAUGGUUGGACGUUGGGGCCGCAGGGGCAUGGGCAACGUUGCGCCGGGCUAGGACAGGGGCAGUCACACGAGUCGCCGGCGCCGCCGUGCCUGGGCUGGGGUUCCACGCCUGGACCUCGACGGGCACAAGGCCACACCAAACGCCACAUCACACGGGAAGAACGA